GCUGGAUGCUUUUAUCUUUGAAAAUUUUGUAUAAAAAGGAACGUAGCUAUAGCUGCAGUUGUUCAUUGGAAGCACGGCAAGAAAGAAUUAUAAUCGGAAUCAUUAUAUGAAUUCUGGAAAGGAUAUCUUUGUGCAAAUGACUCGGGAGUCACUAAUCGCCAUAUCUUACCCUGAACCAGACAAGGAUGUUUCUGUUCUAUCUACACCUGAGAAUGUUAUUAAAGCGGUAAAUGGAGAGAAAUAUGACAAUUACAGGUCUAAGCUCAUCACAAUGUACAACACAAUGUCACCAGACACUAAAGUUGAAUCAGUCACCUGGGAACUCUAGGGCAAAGGCUGCCUUUGCAACAUGUUCUGUUUUACCCUAUCAACACUUUUGUUGUAUCAACCUAAACCCAAAUCAAGUUGACAAGUACUUCAUUAGCCUUUGUAUUUAGUUUUGGUGUAUUCUUUUUCAAGUUUGAACUGCACUACUUAAUGUUACCUCCUCUUUUUCUUUCUUACUCAAGUAUAGACGUUUUUUAGUGUGUUCA
Long non-coding RNA from Solanum stenotomum, 533 nucleotides. RefSeq lists it as uncharacterized. The transcript has 2 exons. The record is from RefSeq and is a predicted model, not a curated record. Lineage: Eukaryota; Viridiplantae; Streptophyta; Magnoliopsida; Solanales; Solanaceae.